ACGAACGCUGGCGGCGUGCUUAACACAUGCAAGUCGAACGGUGAAGCGCCUUCCUUUUUGGUGGGUGUGGAUGAGUGGCGAACGGGUGAGUAACACGUGAGUAACCUGCCCCCUUCUUCUGGAUAACCGCAUGAAAGUGUGGCUAAUACGGGAUAUUCUGGGUCUGUCGCAUGAUGGGUCUGGGAAAGAUAUUGUUUCGGUGGGGGAUGGGCUCGCGGCCUAUCAGCUUGUUGGUGGGGUGAUGGCCUACCAAGGCGGUGACGGGUAGCCGGCCUGAGAGGGUGGACGGUCACACUGGGACUGGGACACGGCCCAGACUCCUACGGGAGGCAGCAGUGGGGAAUAUUGCACAAUGGGCGCAAGCCUGAUGCAGCGACGCCGCGUGAGGGAUGGAGGCCUUCGGGUUGUGAACCUCUUUCGCCAGUGAAGCAGGCCUGCCUCGUUUGUGGGUGGGUUGACGGUAGCUGGAUAAGAAGCGCCGGCUAACUACGUG
Molecule: ribosomal RNA, 493 nt
Filed under: uncultured bacterium
Lineage: Bacteria
Description: partial 16S ribosomal RNA
Rfam family: Bacterial small subunit ribosomal RNA
Source: RNAcentral